Non-coding RNA from Rhineura floridana, 69 nucleotides. NCBI's taxonomy places the organism in Eukaryota, Metazoa, Chordata, Lepidosauria, Squamata, Rhineuridae. The record is from the annotation of a RefSeq genome assembly.
GCUGUAGCUCAGCGGUAGAGCAUCUGCCUCACAUGCAGAAGGUCCCUGGUUCGAUCCCCGGCAUCUCCA